AUUGAACGCUGGCGGCAGGCUUAACACAUGCAAGUCGAGCGGUAGCACAGGGGAGCUUGCUCCCUGGGUGACGAGCGGCGGACGGGUGAGUAAUGUCUGGGAAACUGCCUGAUGGAGGGGGAUAACUACUGGAAACGGUAGCUAAUACCGCAUAACGUCGCAAGACCAAAGAGGGGGACCUUCGGGCCUCUUGCCAUCAGAUGUGCCCAGAUGGGAUUAGCUAGUAGGUGGGGUAAUGGCUCACCUAGGCGACGAUUCCUAGCUGGUCUGAGAGGAUGACCAGCCACACUGGAACUGAGACACGGUCCAGACUCCUACGGGAGGCAGCAGUGGGGAAUAUUGCACAAUGGGCGCAAGCCUGAUGCAGCCAUGCCGCGUGUGUGAAGAAGGCCUUCGGGUUGUAAAGCACUUUCAGCGAGGAGGAAGGUGGUGAACUUAAUACGUUCAUCAAUUGACGUUACUCGCAGAAGAAGCACCGGCUAACUCCGUG
This 490-nucleotide ribosomal RNA is filed under the name uncultured bacterium. RNAcentral's name for it is "partial 16S ribosomal RNA". It matches the Rfam family "Bacterial small subunit ribosomal RNA", at positions 30 to 507 of the family's 1533-position model. The record is from RNAcentral.